AACGAACGCUGGCGGCAGGCUUAACACAUGCAAGUCGAACGGAUCCUUCGGGAUUAGUGGCAGACGGGUGAGUAACGCGUGGGAACGUACCCUUUGCUACGGAAUAACUCAGGGAAACUUGAGCUAAUACCGUAUGUGCCCUACGGGGGAAAGAUUUAUCGGCAAAGGAUCGGCCCGCGUUGGAUUAGCUAGUUGGUGGGGUAAUGGCCUACCAAGGCGACGAUCCAUAGCUGGUCUGAGAGGAUGAUCAGCCACACUGGGACUGAGACACGGCCCAGACUCCUACGGGAGGCAGCAGUGGGGAAUAUUGGACAAUGGGCGCAAGCCUGAUCCAGCCAUGCCGCGUGAGUGAUGAAGGUCUUGGGAUUGUAAAGCUCUUUCACCGGUGAAGAUAAUGACGGUAGCCGGAGAAGAAGCCCCGGCUAACUUCGUG
Molecule: ribosomal RNA, 433 nt
Filed under: uncultured bacterium
Lineage: Bacteria
Description: partial 16S ribosomal RNA
Rfam family: Bacterial small subunit ribosomal RNA
Source: RNAcentral